UCUCAUUUAAAAAAUAUACCGUAAAUAUACUGACAAAUUAUUUGUAUUCAUAAUUCUAUCAUAUUCCUCGACUUUUGUGUUCGGUUGGAUAUUACUAGUUAGCUAGGACCCUCAGGUCUGAGCACAUAAUUUUAUCUUACUAAUAAAUGUAUUUUCUACAAGACUGGUUCAAAUUGUGUUUUCAUCUUUAUUGCAUUUCUUAUAAAAUAUGAUUUUAGGAAAACCGGUCAACAACAAUUUGCACUACAUUUAUUUCCAUACAUGCGACACCUGGAAAAAUAUUUUGCCCGUUUUUUUUCAUAUAAACCCCAUGGAAGCGCCAGAGUGAAAAACCUCCGUUAUCCACUUUUUGACAUGCCUUUUCUUCGACAUUU
Drosophila pseudoobscura is the source of this 374-nucleotide long non-coding RNA. RefSeq lists it as uncharacterized. The transcript has 2 exons. The record is from RefSeq and is a predicted model, not a curated record. Lineage: Eukaryota; Metazoa; Arthropoda; Insecta; Diptera; Drosophilidae.